AUCUUUGUAGCUUGAGCUACACAAAAUUCGUGUAAAAGUUUAACAUAUUGAUUGAUGGUCUAUAUAAAACAUAUUUUUGCCGUUUAUUGUACAUAACAAUUUUUAAAUCUAAACAAAUAGUUGUUUUAGUUAAAUAGAAUGAAAUUCUUGAUUUAUAUAUAUAAUUAUUCCUUUGUUUUGGGUAGAACUGUUUUUCAUCCCUCUCAAGAAGUCCAUCAGGUUCAAGAGUACGUAGCUGAUGCAUCCAGAACCUUUCUCUCUGUUUUCUUUU
This 271-nucleotide long non-coding RNA is filed under the name Mytilus galloprovincialis (Mediterranean mussel). The record is from RNAcentral. Lineage: Eukaryota; Metazoa; Mollusca; Bivalvia; Mytilida; Mytilidae.